CAGCCGCGGUAAUACGGGGGAUGCAAGCGUUAUCCGGAAUCAUUGGGUGUAAAGCGCCUGAUAGGUUGUUUGAUAAGUCUGUUGUUAAAGCCUAGGGCUUAACCCUAGAAAAGCGAUGGAAACUACCAGACUAGAGUAUGGAAGGGGUAGAGGGAAUUUCUAGUGUAGCGGUGAAAUGCGUAGAUACUAGAAAGAACACCAGAGGCGAAAGCGCUCUACUGGGCCAGUACUGACACUCAGAGGCGAAAGCUAGGGUAGCAAAAGGGAUUAGAUACCCCUGUAGUCCUAGCCGUAAACGAUGGAUACUAGAUGUUGUGGGUUACUUACAACAGAUGUUGUAGAUUAACAUGCAGUGACGAAGCUAACGCGUUAAGUAUCCCACCUGGGGAGUACGCUCGCAAGGGUGAAACUCAAAGGAAUUGACGGGGGCUUGCACAAGCGGUGGAGCAUGUGGUUUAAUUCGAUGCAACGCGAAGAACCUUACCAGGAUUUGACAUACUACAAAUCUUUUUGAGAAAAAAGAGCGCCUUCGGGAAUGUAGAUACAGGUGGUGCAUGGCUGUCGUCAGCUCGUGUCGUGAGAUGUUGGGUUAAGUCCCGCAACGAGCGCAACCCUUAUUUUUAGUUACUAACUUGUUAGGUUCUCUAGAAAGACUGCCGGUGACAAACCGGAGGAAGGUGAGGAUGACGUCAAGUCAGCAUGCCCCUUAUAUCCCUGGGCUACCAUCACGUGCUACAAUGGUUAAGACAAUGAGUCGCGAGCUCGUGAGAGUCAGCUAAUCCCAAUAAAUUUAGUCUAAG
RNAcentral lists this ribosomal RNA (800 nucleotides) under uncultured phototrophic eukaryote. Its description in RNAcentral is "bacterial SSU rRNA". It matches the Rfam family "Bacterial small subunit ribosomal RNA", at positions 512 to 1291 of the family's 1533-position model. The record is from RNAcentral.